Molecule: long non-coding RNA, 278 nt
Organism: Salvelinus sp. IW2-2015
Lineage: Eukaryota; Metazoa; Chordata; Actinopteri; Salmoniformes; Salmonidae
Source: RefSeq, a predicted model, not a curated record
GUUUUAAAGGGGCUGGCAGGAGGGGUGUGGGUGCUUCAGUCCCACCCUUCUCUCCCUCUGGUGGCUUCUUGUGGUUUGGAUCACUUUGAGGGUACACAGCCUGGAGGACCGCUCUCUACGGAACAAGGUGUAUCUGAAGUCARGACUCAACUGUGUGCUUCUGUCCAACAGAGAUCUCGAGCUGGGCAGUACAGGAGUGAACGGAGAUGUGGAGGAAGUAAAAGAAGAUGGAGGAGAACUGGAUGAGGUGUGGAACACAAUGGGGAUGAUAAAAGAAA